GGGAAACUAAGGCUGAGAGGUGAUUUGAUGAAGGUCAUACAGCAAGUGGUAGAAGGAAGACUAGAGUCCAGGAUUUGCCUGGUAUCCUCUGCCUCCACCUCGGUUGCCCACUGAUCUCAUGUUUGGAGCCUGGCAUGGAUUCUGGCACACGGAAGUUACCCAGCCUGGUUAUCGCUGAUUGGAUGACAGAUAUAAACAUAUUGUUGAGCUUUAUUCUGAGACACAGUUCAGUUCUACUGAAGUCUUGUCUUCCUGAUUCGUUAGGAGGAACAGAGCCAUGCCUAGUCCAAGGCUAAUUAUUCCUCACUGCUAAGAGUUUAGGAGGGAGGCAGUCAUCAAACAGAGGUCUCUAGUGGAAUGAGCCAGUGUUGAGACUUUGAAAAACAAAGAUCAGUCUGAAGAAGUUCAAAGAGAGGAAGAAAAAGGUAUGUUCCUAGUUAAAUGCACC
Molecule: long non-coding RNA, 448 nt
Filed under: Callithrix jacchus (white-tufted-ear marmoset)
Lineage: Eukaryota; Metazoa; Chordata; Mammalia; Primates; Cebidae
Description: lncRNA (ENSCJAG00000073761.1)
Source: RNAcentral